RNAcentral lists this ribosomal RNA (467 nucleotides) under uncultured bacterium. Its description in RNAcentral is "partial 16S ribosomal RNA". It matches the Rfam family "Bacterial small subunit ribosomal RNA", at positions 28 to 507 of the family's 1533-position model. The record is from RNAcentral.
GACGAACGCUGGCGGCGUGCUUAACACAUGCAAGUCGAACGGAAAGGCCUCUUUCGGGGGGUACUCGAGUGGCGAACGGGUGAGUAACACGUGAGUAACCUGCCCUUGACUUUGGGAUAACUUCAGGAAACUGGGGCUAAUACCGGAUAGGAGCUCCUGCUGCAUGGUGGGGGUUGGAAAGUUUCGGCGGUUGGGGAUGGACUCGCGGCUUAUCAGCUUGUUGGGGGGGGAGUGGCUUACCAAGGCUUUGACGGGUAGCCGGACUGAGAGGGUGAGCGGCCACAUUGGGACUGAGAUACGGCCCAGACUCCUACGGGAGGCAGCAGUGGGGAAUAUUGCACAAUGGGUGGAAGCCGGAUGCAGCAACGCCGUGGGCGGGAUGACGGCCUUCGGGUUGUAAACCGCUUUCGCUCAUGACGAAGCUUUGUGUGACGGUAGUGGGUAAAGAAGCACCGGCUAACUACGUG